UACGUAGGGGACGAGCGUUGUCCGGAAUUACUGGGCGUAAAGGGAGCGUAGGCGGACUUUUAAGUGAGAUGUGAAAUACCCGGGCUCAACUUGGGUGCUGCAUUUCAAACUGGAAGUCUAGAGUGCAGGAGAGGAGAAUGGAAUUCCUAGUGUAGCGGUGAAAUGCGUAGAGAUUAGGAAGAACACCAGUGGCGAAGGCGAUUCUCUGGACUGUAACUGACGCUGAGGAGCGAAAGCAUGGGGAGGCGAACAGGAUUAGAUACCCCGUA
RNAcentral lists this ribosomal RNA (269 nucleotides) under uncultured prokaryote. Its description in RNAcentral is "partial 16S ribosomal RNA". It matches the Rfam family "Bacterial small subunit ribosomal RNA", at positions 524 to 791 of the family's 1533-position model. The record is from RNAcentral.